This 857-nucleotide unclassified non-coding RNA is filed under the name Sitophilus oryzae (rice weevil). RNAcentral's name for it is "uncharacterized LOC115877705, transcript variant X1". The record is from RNAcentral. Lineage: Eukaryota; Metazoa; Arthropoda; Insecta; Coleoptera; Curculionidae.
AGACAGAACACUCCAUUCAUAAAACUCAAUUUUUUAGAAUCAUACAUGGUUUGGCACUUUUAUGAGAGUUAAAAAGAGAUGGGUACAUAAAUAUGACAACACGGUUGAGUUUCGUCUGUCUUUCUGUCAUUUCACUCCAUCAGUGGCGUGACGGUGGUGUGGUGUUUUUUUAUCAAAAAUUUUAAAAUAGUUAUUUUGUGUAUUUUAAUUUAAAUUUUAAUUUGUAAUAUACGUAGUAAUAUCGAUAAUAUACAAUGUAGGGGCGUUUGCACCAAGUUUUUUAAGCAAAACUUAACACUAUGUUUAGCUUAUUUUCUUGCACUAUGCUUUAAUCUAACUUGAAUUUAUAUUUAAAUUAAGCGGUCAAAUUUCCAGGCUAGUGGUCACUUAACCUAUCUUAGACACAAAAAUAUUGUUUUACGAGGAAGAAUUAUUGUUAUUCCUUUGAGAAAGCUAAAAAAUGUAUUAUGAUACCUCUACGUAAGUUCGAUGAUUACUUUUGAUAUCCUAGACGUCGAUCAGUAGGUAUAUUCAUUGAAAAUGGAUUUCCUCAAGAAUGGAUGUAAGGAAAAAUCAUAUUGCCAAGAAAUGAACCUCCUUAAGUUUUUAGGACAGAGACUUUUAAACGACACUGUAAUAUAUAUCAUUAUUAAUUACCUCGGUUUAAUUGAACAAAAUCUAGAAUAUCAAAAUGAGAGGUAAGUUGGAAUGCUAGUAAAUCUAAUAAACAACAGCAUAACUGCCAUAAAUCAACAACAAUUUUAUAGUAUAUUUGGGUUUCCUGGGAUUAUAGGGAUAGUUGAUGGAACACAAUGUAAGAAAACAUUCACCUGGGGGUAUUGAUGGAGAGGUAUUUA